RNAcentral lists this ribosomal RNA (253 nucleotides) under uncultured bacterium. RNAcentral's name for it is "partial 16S ribosomal RNA". It matches the Rfam family "Bacterial small subunit ribosomal RNA", at positions 524 to 776 of the family's 1533-position model. The record is from RNAcentral.
UACGUAGGGUGCGAGCGUUAAUCGGAAUUACUGGGCGUAAAGCGUGCGCAGGCGGUUCGUUGUGUCGGUGGUGAAAUCCCCGGGCUUAACCUGGGAAUGGCCAUGGAAACUGGCGAACUGGAGUGCGGCAGAGGGGGGUGGAAUUCCGCGUGUAGCAGUGAAAUGCGUAGAGAUGCGGAGGAACACCGAUGGCGAAGGCAGCCCCCUGGGCUUUCACUGACGCUCAGGCACGAAAGCGUGGGGAGCAAACAGG